UCUGACGAUAGCAGUUCCCAAGAGAUAAGACUUUAUUUUGCUAUCUUCUUUGAGAGCAUUUCCUUCAUCCGCUCCUUCAAUUUGGAUUUCUUGGCCAGCUUCUCUCCGAAGCGAAGACAUGACGAUUCAACUCUUCCCCCAUCAGGUAAACGGUUUCUCCUCUAUUAAGAGCGUCUUUUGCUAGUCUAUGUGUAUGCGAGUUCUCUGAUCUGUGAAUAUGUUGAAAGAUAAGUUCUUGAAAAUAGGGUUUCUUAUUCUGAAUGUAUUUGAAAAUAGCUCCAAUCAUUGAUUUACCUGUUAAAGUCGUUUGACAUUUUUUUAUUAUUGUUUUGGAGUCCUCUAUGAGUUUGACUGAUUGAGUUCUUAGUGAGAUCCCUAACCUUGUACCCUUUAAACAUGCAUAUGCCUCUUCUGCAAAUGGUGAGGGAACAUUGUUGUGAAUAACCUUCUUUAGUACCAGUAGAUCUCCCCUCAGAUCUCAUCCCACCAGGCCUGUCGCUGAUUUGAAGUUUCUACUGUCGAACGCUGCGUCAAAGUGGAUCGUUGUUUUUGGUAUGUCCUCCUGGAUUCUAUAGCUUCUGUUCAUUUUAUCAUGAAUCUUCAUUACUUUUAUUCCUUCAUAUUUUGCCAUGUGCCUUUGAAUAUUUUGUGCUAAAACCUUUCCUGUUAUAUUUUCCCCCUCAUGUAUGAAUUGAUUUCUGGAAAACCAUAUCAACCAUAGAGCAUAACAGAAGAGUCGGCAUUGAGGGCCGUUACUUCUCUUGAAAGCCCAGACAAGAAGACUUUCCUCUGCCCAGGAGCAACCACGGAGACAUCUAUCAUUUGAAGUGACUUUCCUGUACUUGAGAUUAGCAAGAUUAGGGAUAUAAUCCCAGGAAAUUGGCCAAAUAGUGAUUGCAAUUUUUUAGGGUAGUUGUAGGCUCCAUAAUUUCCUAUAAAAUUAUUUAGUUUCGGUCUGUAAUAAAUAAUAUUAGGAUUCAAAAUAGCAUAUUGUAAUAGUUUAUAGGCACUGCGCAUUGAAAAUGCACUGGAUAAUACUACUUUCCAAACUUGAGUAUCCUCGUGCUCAGUCUCUGCAAGAGGGAUCUGUAGAAUUUUUUGAGCAAUUUCUGCUUGAAAGCUGUCUUUCCAGAUAGAAAUGUUGUCUCCCCUGCCCACUCUCCAACACAUCCCUUUCUGGAGAAGUCCCUUUACUACCCAGAUACUCUUCCAUGUAAGUGAAGGUAAAUUUCCCAACUCUGCCUUUAGGAAACUUGAUUGCAGAUAGUAUUUUGCUUUUAAAACUCUGGCUAAUAAAGAAUUUGGAUAAUUGAUAAGACGCCAACCUUGUUUAGCUAAUAACGCAAUAUUAAAUUGACCAAGGUUUCGAAAACCUAAACCAUCAUUUUCUUUUAAAGAAAAAAUAAUUUUCCACGUGCACCAAUGAAUUCCCAUUUUUCCACGUCUCUUCUGCCACUAGAAUCUCGCAACGAUACUUUCCAAUUCGUCACAUAGAACUUUAGGUAAUAAAAAAUAAACCAGUGUAUAAGUUGGUAUAGCCUGAAGAAUAGCCUUUAUAAAUACUUCUUUUCCACCCUGCGAUAAGUACCUAUUAUUUCAAUUAUCAAUACGUUUUUUGAAUCGGUCCUUCAAGUUUUGAAAAGAUUCCUUUUUUCUCUGACCCACCAUAUUAGGUAACCCUAAGUAACGCUGUGGUUCGUUCGAGCUAUGUACCCCCAAUAGAUUGACAACUAGUCUCCUAUCCUCCUCCAACAUGUUCUUGCUAAAAAAUACUGUUGAUUUGUUAAAGUUAACACAUUGUUCUGAACAAGAUUUAUACUCGCGUAGAAUGUCCUUGAAGAGAUUAGCACCCUUGCUUGUUGCCUCCCCGAAUAAUAUGCAAUCAUCAGGAAAUAAAAGAUGGGUUACCUGUGGGCUAUUUCUAUUAACCCUAACACCUUUUAAGAAGCCUACAUUGAUUGCUAGUCUCAAUAAGCUCGAUAGACCCUCACCACAUAAAAGAAAUAAGAACAGGCUUAGCGUAUCACCUUGUCUAAGUCCUCUAGAUGGUAGAAAUUUAUCCCCGUUAUACCCAUUGAUGACUACUGAAUAAGAAACAGUGGUAACACAUUUCAUAAUGGCAUUUAACUAGCUUUGAUCAAACCCCAUCCGUAUCAUUAUCUACUUUAUAAAAUUCCAUUCAACCCUAUCAUAUGCUUUACUCGUAUCGAGUUUAAUGGCCAUAUACCCUUUUUUCCCCAAUCUCUUAUGUUUUAACUUAUGUAAUAUUUCAUAGGCUAACAACACAUUAUCUGAUAUUAAUCGACCUGGUGCAAAGGCACUUUACGCCUCAUCAAUGCAUUUUCCAAUAACUCCUCGAAAUCGAUUUGCUAUUGCCUUUGCUAGAAUUUUAUAAGUACAUUGCAUAGGCUAAUUGGUCGGAACUGCAUCAUAUUAGAAGGGUAGUAACUUUUGGGAUAAGUACUAUAUUGGUAGAGUUAAUUGGACUAACCUCUAUAUCUCCGUUUAGAAUUUGUAAGCAAAAGGAGGCAACUUCUUCUCCAACAAUCUGCCAGUAUUCCUGAUAAAAUAGAGCUAGAAAUCCAUCUUCUCCUGGUGCCUUCAUGGGUCCCAUGUCGAAAACUACUUCUACAGUUUCAUCUUUAAUGUAUGUUGCUGUAAGUUUUUGGUUGUCUUCCGCAUAGACACAAUGCUCGAUCCCUGAUAGUAUAUAUUCAUAAUUCUUCUUUCCUCCUGCCAAAAACAAGCUUUGAAAAUAAGACCGCGCAACACCUUCUAUUUUUUACAGUGUAACACCCCUUACCCUUAUCCAACACCAGAAUAGGGCACGAGGCAUUACCAGUACACAUACACUUGUAAACGUAUUUAACCGAGUUAUAAAAUUUCAUCUAAA
Molecule: long non-coding RNA, 2893 nt
Organism: Gossypium raimondii (Peruvian cotton)
Lineage: Eukaryota; Viridiplantae; Streptophyta; Magnoliopsida; Malvales; Malvaceae
Exons: 3
Source: RefSeq, a predicted model, not a curated record